Molecule: ribosomal RNA, 288 nt
Filed under: uncultured bacterium
Lineage: Bacteria
Description: partial 16S ribosomal RNA
Rfam family: Bacterial small subunit ribosomal RNA
Source: RNAcentral
GCCUACGGGGCGCAGCAGUGAGGAAUAUUGGUCAAUGGCCGAGAGGCUGAACCAGCCAAGUCGCGUGAGGGAUGAUGGCCCUACGGGUUGUAAACCUCUUUUGUCGGGGAGCAAGACCCGCCUCGUGCAGGCGGAGCGAGAGUACCCGAAGAAAAAGCAUCGGCUAACUCCGUGCCAGCAGCCGCGGUAAUACGUAGGUGGCAAGCGUUAUCCGGAUUUAUUGGGUGUAAAGGGCGUGUAGGCGGGAUUGCAAGUCAGAUGUGAAAACCACGGGCUCAACCUGUGGCC